This 202-nucleotide ribosomal RNA is filed under the name uncultured bacterium. RNAcentral describes it as "partial 16S ribosomal RNA". It matches the Rfam family "Bacterial small subunit ribosomal RNA", at positions 326 to 539 of the family's 1533-position model. The record is from RNAcentral.
ACGCUCGACACCUACGGAGGGGCAGCAGGUUGGGAAUAUUGGACAAUGGAGGAAACUCUGAUCCAGUGACGCCGCGUGAAGGAAGAAGGUCUUCGGAUUGUAAACUUAUUUUGUCAGGGAAGAAAAAAUGACUGUACCUGAAGAAAAAGCACCGGCUAACUACGUGCAAGCAGCCGCGGUAAUCUGAGCGGGCUGGCAAGGC